UACGUAGGGUGCAAGCGUUAAUCGGAAUUACUGGGCGUAAAGCGUGCGCAGGCGGUUUUGUAAGUCUGUCGUGAAAGCCCCGGGCUCAACCUGGGAAUUGCGAUGGAGACUGCAAGGCUUGAAUCUGGCAGAGGGGGGUAGAAUUCCACGUGUAGCAGUGAAAUGCGUAGAGAUGUGGAGGAACACCGAUGGCGAAGGCAGCCCCCUGGGUCAAGAUUGACGCUCAUGCACGAAAGCGUGGGGAGCAAACACG
Molecule: ribosomal RNA, 253 nt
Filed under: uncultured bacterium
Lineage: Bacteria
Description: partial 16S ribosomal RNA
Rfam family: Bacterial small subunit ribosomal RNA
Source: RNAcentral